RNAcentral lists this ribosomal RNA (497 nucleotides) under uncultured bacterium. RNAcentral's name for it is "partial 16S ribosomal RNA". It matches the Rfam family "Bacterial small subunit ribosomal RNA", at positions 28 to 507 of the family's 1533-position model. The record is from RNAcentral.
GAUGAACGCUGGCGGCGUGCCUAAUACAUGCAAGUCGAGCGAACGGACGCGAAGCUUGCUUCUCUGAUGUUAGCGGCGGACGGGUGAGUAACACGUGGAUAACCUACCUAUAAGACUGGGAUAACUUCGGGAAACCGGAGCUAAUACCGGAUAAUAUUUUGAACCGCAUGGUUCAAAAGUGAAAGACGGUCUUGCUGUCACUUAUAGAUGGAUCCGCGCUGCAUUAGCUAGUUGGUAAGGUAACGGCUUACCAAGGCAACGAUGCAUAGCCGACCUGAGAGGGUGAUCGGCCACACUGGAACUGAGACACGGUCCAGACUCCUACGGGAGGCAGCAGUAGGGAAUCUUCCGCAAUGGGCGAAAGCCUGACGGAGCAACGCCGCGUGAGUGAUGAAGGUCUUCGGAUCGUAAAACUCUGUUAUUAGGGAAGAACAUAUGUGUAAGUAACUGUGCACAUCUUGACGGUACCUAAUCAGAAAGCCACGGCUAACUACGUG